GCGGCAACAGCUCAAAUUUGAAAUCUGGCUCCUUUGGGGCCCGAGUUGUAAUUUGUAGAGGGUGCUUUGGCGUUGGCCAUGGUCUAAGUUCCUUGGAACAGGACGUCACAGAGGGUGAGAAUCCCGUACGUGGCCGUUGGCCUUCGCCAUGUAAAGCCCCUUCGACGAGUCGAGUUGUUUGGGAAUGCAGCUCUAAAUGGGAGGUAAAUUUCUUCUAAAGCUAAAUAUUGGCCAGAGACCGAUAGCGCACAAGUAGAGUGAUCGAAAGAUGAAAAGCACUUUGGAAAGAGAGUCAAAAAGCACGUGAAAUUGUUGAAAGGGAAGCGCUUGCAGCCAGACUUGCUCGUAGUCGCUCAUCUAGGCUUCUGCCUGGUGCACUCUUCUGCGGGCAGGCCAGCAUCAGUUCAGGCGGUCGGAUAAAGGUCUUGGGAAUGUGGCUCUCUUCGGGGAGUGUUAUAGCCCCGGAUGCAAUGCGACCAGCCUGGACUGAGGUCCGCGCAUCUGCUAGGAUGCUGGCGUAAUGGCUGUAAGCGGCCCGUCUUGAAACACGGACCAAGGAGUCUAACAUCUAUGCGAGUGUUUGGGUGUCAAGCCCGAGCGCGCAAUGAAAGUGAACGGAGGUGGGAACCCGCAAGGGUGCACCAUCGACCGAUCCUGAUGUCUUCGGAUGGAUUUGAGUAAGAGCAUAGCUGUUGGGACCCGAAAGAUGGUGAACUAUGCCUGAAUAGGGUGAAGCCAGAGGAAACUCUGGUGGAGGCUCGCAGCGGUUCUGACGUGC
This 778-nucleotide ribosomal RNA is filed under the name Lindgomyces griseosporus. Its description in RNAcentral is "eukaryotic LSU rRNA". It matches the Rfam family "Eukaryotic large subunit ribosomal RNA", at positions 98 to 894 of the family's 3401-position model. Lineage: Eukaryota; Fungi; Ascomycota; Dothideomycetes; Pleosporales; Lindgomycetaceae. The record is from RNAcentral.